AUGACAUGAAAAAUCUCUAAAUCAAGGCCUUAGAUGCUAUCUAGGUACGGAUCUCCUGUAUACAGUAGACUGCUUACCAGAAAAAAUAUCUUUCAGUCCCACCAACUUAAAAGGUAGAUAUAUGAGCAUUCGCUGAAGCUAUUGGACCUUUAACUGGAACUGCAGGGUUUCGUCACGUGAAGAUAAGACAAACCCUCCAGAUGUGUCAGAGUGAAAAAAUUGAUAGAAAUGCUGUUUCCUUUCCGCCUGCUUUCCAUCUUAUCAACACCAACAGUGUUGCACGUGCAAAGAAAAGAUGAUAGCAAUAAUUAAAACAAACAAAAAAUCUAUGUAUAUAUAUUUGGUUGUUUUUGUAGCAGCAGGUAUUUUUUUUUUUCAAAACUGUAAUUUCUCUUAAUGAGGUUAAAACCUUCACUCUCAUGUACGGACAUAUGGGCCAUGCAUUCAGCAGAUGAAUUGGAUCAGUGUCAGAUAUGAGCAAAUAAGCUCAGUCCAGUUAUAGGUAUUGGAUUGGAUCGGAAAAACUGGAUCGGUGCAUCUCUAAUCUUUACCAGGGUGCCAAAACCUUUUGGAUAUGACCAGUGCUGCAGCAAGGGUCUACCUAUGAGGAAAUCAACUUACUGAUACAAUUUUUUUAUAUCUUAAAAUUCUGGUAAAAAUCAGACAAAAGGAGGCACUUUAUUUUAUUUUACUGGUUUAAAACAGUAUAUAUGGUUCUUUCAAAUCCCAUCAAGUUUUAUUUGCAUUUAAUAAUAAAACGGUGUUAAUGAAUAAUAGGAACUAAUAAAAUAUGAACACUGAUAAGGCAUAACAUUAUGACCAAUAAAAUGUUUUAGUUUGCAUUCUUCCCACAGCUGCUGCUACUGUAUAUCUCUCAGAAAUGCUAAGGAAGGCAGCGAGGAUCAAAGUAACAUCAAGAUUAAGGCCAGUAUACGAGUCAUAAUGAUUUUGCCGAUUGGUUUGUAGCCUUAAAAAUCAACGUUAUACUGUUGAAGUAUUUGAAAUGUCAUCUAAAGUGUUCAGUUUCUCAGGGAGAACAAAAUGAAUAUAAGAAAAUACCUGAUUUUAAAUAAUAAUAAAAUUGAAAUGAGGUAUUUACAUGCAGGGUGUUUAAAACGUCAUUUUGUUUUUUAGUGUCUGACCUUAAAGAAGUCUGAAUUGGUCGAAAAGUGAGCAUUAGAUUUGGAGGAAAAGGGAGGAGGAUCAGGUUGUUGUUAGCUAAAUAUUAAGAAAAUGUUCAUUAACUUAUAAAAAAGUAAAGUAUUAGUUUCCUCUAACUAUUCUGGCAUUUAUUCAAUCUUAUUGACCUUAGAGGAAAGAUUUUAUCCAAUUUAAUGUCAGACACAAGGAAAGAAAAGUGUUUUUGUAUGUUGCAUGCUGGGAUCUGAUUUCAGCUGUACACGGGUGCUGGAUUGUGUGCGGAUAUAAAAACUAUGUUUUUCUUUUUGUGGCACUGUCACAAUCGUAAUUCUAAUGAAAAAAGCUUUUGUGACAAAAAAGUAGUUGAAUUAACACAGUUUACAGGAUACACCUGUAAUUCUUUUGAGAUCAAAUCUCAUGACUCCUCUGAGUCUAUCUUUGUUUAAUGGUAUUAUUCCUAAGAAAUUAUACUAAUUGAACUGUAGCUUUUGUGCAAUAACUGAGUUUUAUGUACUUGACGUGGAAAAGAGAUAAUCAGGAACAAAACUUUACACCUUAAACUUUCAGGGAAGCUAAUCUAUUCCAGAUCAGCAUUGUUUUCGGUGAGUCCCGUUAAUUAGCGCAAACAAAAUAAAAAAAAGUGUUUUUUUGCUCUGCUCUGUUGGUGUGGUCUGUUAACCCUUUCAAUGCUGUGUAAUUUGCUGUAAAUUGUGGGUUUUGGUGUGUUUAAUCAAUCACUUUAAAACAAUGUGCAAAUGCAUCAAUGUAACGGGGAUAUAAAGCCAUUCAUCACCAGAUGCUGCAUUUCUUUUGUGUGUUUUGUAACUAAAAUGAAACAGAGUUUGAAAUCAAGAUAAUCAUGGUUUAAAGUGCACUAAGUUGUUGAUUUUUAACUUCUAUAAGGGUACAUUUUAGAAGGCUAGACAUUUUUAUUUCCUUGAUUGUUCUUUAAAAAAUAAAAUACUGUAUGAUUUGCUUCAUUA
Long non-coding RNA from Cyprinodon tularosa, 2123 nucleotides. RefSeq lists it as uncharacterized. NCBI's taxonomy places the organism in Eukaryota, Metazoa, Chordata, Actinopteri, Cyprinodontiformes, Cyprinodontidae. The transcript has 2 exons. The record is from RefSeq and is a predicted model, not a curated record.